GAUGAACGCUGGCGGCGUGCUUAACACAUGCAAGUCGAGCGAAGCGCUUAAGUUUGAUUCUUCGGAUGAAGACUUUUGUGACUGAGCGGCGGACGGGUGAGUAACGCGUGGGUAACCUGCCUCAUACAGGGGGAUAACAGUUAGAAAUGACUGCUAAUACCGCAUAAGACCACGGUACCGCAUGGUACAGUGGUAAAAACUCCGGUGGUAUGAGAUGGACCCGCGUCUGAUUAGGUAGUUGGUGGGGUAACGGCCUACCAAGCCGACGAUCAGUAGCCGACCUGAGAGGGUGACCGGCCACAUUGGGACUGAGACACGGCCCAGACUCCUACGGGAGGCAGCAGUGGGGAAUAUUGCACAAUGGAGGAAACUCUGAUGCAGCGACGCCGCGUGAAGGAUGAAGUAUUUCGGUAUGUAAACUUCUAUCAGCAGGGAAGAAA
RNAcentral lists this ribosomal RNA (440 nucleotides) under uncultured bacterium. Its description in RNAcentral is "bacterial SSU rRNA". It matches the Rfam family "Bacterial small subunit ribosomal RNA", at positions 28 to 450 of the family's 1533-position model. The record is from RNAcentral.